UACGGAGGGUGCAAGCGUUGCUCGGAAUCACUGGGCGUAAAGCGACCGCAGGCGGCCUGACAAGUCGGAUGUGAAAGCCCUGGGCUCAACUCAGGAAUUGCAUUCGAAACUGGUAGGCUCGAGUACGGGAGAGGGGGGUGGAAUUCCUGGUGUAGGGGUGAAAUUCGUUGAUAUCAGGAGGAACACCGGCGGCGAAGGCGGCCCCCUGGCCCGCAACUGACGCUCAUGGUCGAAAGCGUGGGGAGCAAACAGG
This 253-nucleotide ribosomal RNA is filed under the name uncultured bacterium. Its description in RNAcentral is "partial 16S ribosomal RNA". It matches the Rfam family "Bacterial small subunit ribosomal RNA", at positions 524 to 776 of the family's 1533-position model. The record is from RNAcentral.